Molecule: long non-coding RNA, 689 nt
Filed under: Anser brachyrhynchus (Pink-footed goose)
Lineage: Eukaryota; Metazoa; Chordata; Aves; Anseriformes; Anatidae
Description: lncRNA (ENSABRG00000020942.1)
Source: RNAcentral
UGUACACAUAUUUUUAGUGAAAAUAUUUUCAUGUGUAUUAACAACAUGCAAUGUAACAGAAUUUUAAACAUUGGUGGUUUUAUAUUUGACAGCUAAUUUUCUAAGAUGUUAUCAGUGAACAAAGGAUCCCUGCCAUCAGAACAUGACUUGCAGUUUCUUAUGACACUUGAAGAGAUUGUGUGGGCUCUCUCCAGGGAGUCUGUCCUGAAGACAUGAAAACACAGCCAGUAUUGUCAUGCCGCCACUUUUCAUGAUGUUAUUGUUAACCAUGGACUUCAAGGCUGGACUUGUUUCCUGUGGCAGCUCCUGUGGUGGGGAGAAGGGCUCACACAUACUCCAGUUUCACUCCACUACAGGUUGGAGAGCAAUGAAAGACUACCCAGAGAUGCUGAGAGAGUCUUGGAGCAGAUGCCUGCAAAGGAGAGCUAUCACAAAGUAUAAUAUCAGAAAGAAACACUUUCUGAAAUGUUGAAUUUUGAACAGCUUCUGAACAGCUUCCAUGAAGAAAAUUUACAUGUUGCUGAUUUAUUAGAGACAAUGAACAAGAAGUCAUCUGUACCUCGUAAUACCUGAUGUCACAGAGAAGUCUGGAGCCAGACUAGGAGAAGGUAGCAAUUCCAGUAAAACAGUGAAUGACACCAAGAGUACUUGAAUCCUCUAUAAAUCUUUAGAAUACUGUAUUUAUAAAU